GCGACAUAUAUUCGCUGUACGCUCUGUUGGAGGCCGAUCUGGAACCUCGGGCACGGACCAAUCGCGCAGUCAGCGGUUUCCAGAAACUGCUGGCUACGUUACAUUUUUUGGCGUCAGGCACAUUCCAGCCUACUUUGUCUCAAACAUGCGGUUUUUCACAGUCGACACUGUCGCGCUGUAUAACCCAGGUCAUUAGGGCUUUCCGCAAAUUGACGAUCCAGUUCAUCACAUUUCCAGAUACGGACAGCGGAUGUCGUGAGAUCAAAUUAGGCUUUUUUACCAAAUACAAUUUUCCCAAUGUUCUGGGCACGAUUGACUGUACCCACGUGCAGAUCAGACCGCCACGGAAUUCGGAAGAAUGUUUUUGGAACCGAAAACAUUUCCAUUCCAUGAAUAUACAGGCGGUCUGUGAUGUCAACAUGAAAUUUUUGAAUAUUUUUGUGGGAUUUCCUGGAUCGUCUCACGACUCCUUCAUCCUAAGUCAGUCAUCGCUGUUUGACAAUUUCGAAACAGGAAACAUGCCAGGUGGCUGGCUGUUAGGUAUUUAUUUUAAUUGUUUUUUUUUUUUUUUUAUAUUACCCACCAUUUUUUACAUUUCCAUAGGCGAUGCGGGUUAUCCCAACAAAUCGUGGCUCUUGACCCCAUUGUCUAAUCCUGUUGGUAGAGCAGAAAAACGUUACCAAGAGACACACAAAGCAUCAAAGCAAGUAAUUGAGCGUGCCUUCGGUGUACUUAAAAGCCGGUUUAGAUGUUUAGACACUUCCGGUGGUGCUCUUUUGUACUCACCGGCAAAGGUUUGCGGCAUGGUAAAUGCAUGUUGUAUUUUACACAACAUAUGUGUCGCAAACCGUUUGCCGGUGACUCUUCGUCGCAGUGCUUUCCGACGCGGGAACCGUUCUUCUGCUCUACCGGUGGGUAUGGACGAAGGAGAUGAUUCCCGACGGACAUUGAUCCAAAGCUUUUUUUCCACUGCCUAGUUUUACAUCCUGUUGACGCACCUUCCCAGACCUGUUUUCAAAGUUUCGUCCUGUUGACGACCUGUUACCCCGUUUUUUCCUGUUGUUGGGUUGCCGCAAAUAUUGGACCCGUUUAUCCAACUCUACCAUGGGCAACCUACUUGUGAUGUGGACCUGAACCUCCGCCAUGUAGCAGACAACUCCCCUCAGGUCUUGCGGAGUAUCCUUCCCAAGUGGCUUGAAUCCUCAUGGAUGAAAAGGGACACGACAGUUCCCCUGCUGUACCAUGGGCGACCUAACACAAUACCACUGCAUCUCAUAUAUUACAUUUUAUUUACUAAUAAUUUAAAGAAAAACACACAAAACUUCUCAUUUUAAAACUUUA
This is a long non-coding RNA of Pseudophryne corroboree (corroboree frog), 1341 nucleotides long. RefSeq lists it as uncharacterized. The record is from RefSeq and is a predicted model, not a curated record. NCBI's taxonomy places the organism in Eukaryota, Metazoa, Chordata, Amphibia, Anura, Myobatrachidae. The transcript has 3 exons.